AGCAGUGUCAGGAGAACGGUCUGGAAAGUCCGGCAGUAAAGGGUGAUAGCCCCGUAUCUGAAGAUGCUGUUAUUGUGAACUCGACGAGUAGGGCGGGACACGUGUUAUCCUGUCUGAAUAUGGGGGGACCAUCCUCCAAGGCUAAAUACUCCUGAUUGACCGAUAGUGAACCAGUACCGUGAGGGAAAGGCGAAAAGAACCCCGGCGAGGGGAGUGAAAAAGAACCUGAAACCGUG
RNAcentral lists this ribosomal RNA (236 nucleotides) under Proteus mirabilis. RNAcentral's name for it is "partial 23S ribosomal RNA". It matches the Rfam family "Bacterial large subunit ribosomal RNA", at positions 322 to 560 of the family's 2925-position model. Lineage: Bacteria; Pseudomonadati; Pseudomonadota; Gammaproteobacteria; Enterobacterales; Morganellaceae. The record is from RNAcentral.